This 253-nucleotide ribosomal RNA is filed under the name uncultured bacterium. RNAcentral describes it as "partial 16S ribosomal RNA". It matches the Rfam family "Bacterial small subunit ribosomal RNA", at positions 524 to 776 of the family's 1533-position model. The record is from RNAcentral.
GACGGAAGGUGCAAGCGUUGCUCGGAAUCACUGGGCGUAAAGGGUGCGUAGGCGGCUUGGUGGGUCUGGUGUGAAAGCCCCGGGCUCAGCCCGGGAAGGGCACUAGAAACUGCCGAGCUGGAGUGCCGGAGGGGAGACUGGAAUUCCUGGUGUAGCGGUGGAAUGCGCAGAUAUCAGGAAGAACACCUAUGGCGAAGGCAGCUCUCUGGGACGGUACUGACGCUGAGACGCGAAAGCGUGGGGAGCGAACAGG